Molecule: ribosomal RNA, 485 nt
Filed under: uncultured bacterium
Lineage: Bacteria
Description: bacterial SSU rRNA
Rfam family: Bacterial small subunit ribosomal RNA
Source: RNAcentral
GAACGCUGGCGGCAGGCCUAACACAUGCAAGUCGAGCGGUAACAUUUCUAGCUUGCUAGAAGAUGACGAGCGGCGGACGGGUGAGUAACGCGUAGAAAUCUACCUAGUAGUGGGGGAUAGCCCAGAGAAAUUUGGAUUAAUACCGCAUACGCCCUACGGGGGAAAGCGGGGGAUCUUCGGACCUCGUGCUAUUAGAUGAGUCUGCGUCGGAUUAGCUUGUUGGUGAGGUAAUGGCUCACCAAGGCGACGAUCCGUAGCUGGUCUGAGAGGAUGACCAGCCACACUGGAACUGAGACACGGUCCAGACUCCUACGGGAGGCAGCAGUGGGGAAUAUUGCACAAUGGGCGCAAGCCUGAUGCAGCCAUGCCGCGUGUGUGAAGAAGGCCUUAGGGUUGUAAGGCACUUUCAGCAGUGAGGAAAGGGGUGUCGUUAAUAGCGCCAUCCUGUGACGUUAACUGCAGAAGAAGGACCGGCUAACUCCGUG